This 217-nucleotide long non-coding RNA is filed under the name Vigna radiata. RNAcentral describes it as "long non-coding RNA (VRAD_LNC010313)". Lineage: Eukaryota; Viridiplantae; Streptophyta; Magnoliopsida; Fabales; Fabaceae. The record is from RNAcentral.
UUAUCUUCUUCAAUAACUCGUAAGUGCACAUUGUAGCCAACUUCUUUUCUUCAUUUAUAAUGCUUGGAAUCAAUGCUUAUUAAUUAGAAUCGAUUAUACUAAAAAUAGCAAAAUUAGAAGUGGAAUUAGCAAAAUGUAGAGGGGCACAUCAGACUUUUGAACUGCAAUCCCUCUAAAUCUUGCCUUCUUAGCGGGUGAGUGAAAAGUAGUGAAUCCC